Molecule: non-coding RNA, 326 nt
Organism: Schizosaccharomyces pombe (fission yeast)
Lineage: Eukaryota; Fungi; Ascomycota; Schizosaccharomycetes; Schizosaccharomycetales; Schizosaccharomycetaceae
Source: the annotation of a GenBank genome assembly
CUUAUGCAUGGCUGACCACCAUUACAUUUAAUCUUUUUCUGGCGGCAAUGCUUACAUGCUCGAAACACACGUCGUCGCUGCUCUGGAGGUACCCGCCUUUUCUUUUUUCGCUCCAAAUCUUUAACAUCGGCAAAAAGUUGAUUUUUUAAAAAUCCUAUUUCUUCAUUCAUCUCUCUAGAAUACCAACCACAUUUCAGUAAAUCCCUAAUACAAUUCAAUCCUAAAGAAAUCCCAAAAUUUAGUAAAUUAUCGUUGCUUUAGGACCAAGAAAUCGUCAAAUUGUAGUGGAAGAGAAUAUGCGACUUUGCUUGGAAAAUAAAAUUUUG